UGAAUCCUUCCGUGUGGUCAAGUCAUGGCAUUUGUUGUGUGUCUGCAGAAGCUUAUCGUCCGUCCAUAUCACCUUCUUGAGUGGUAGCGUAGGAAAUAGGAAAUAUACAGAAGCUGCAUGUUUAAGGAACAAUAAGGCAUCAGGUAUUGCUGCAUUGGUGGUUGCUGUGAAUAGGUGAAAUUGUGUGAUGAGUGUUUGGUUUUUAUUUAAUAAAAACUUGUAUCCUAAGAAUAUAUCUCAGUUAUUUGUGAUCUUUUCGCGAUCCUCUUUCUCCUUAUUCUCUGCCUAAAGGAAAGAAGAAAAAGAAAAAGAAAAGAAUCGUUUAAUUUCUAUGAGUGAAACCUACAAUCAUGUAGUUCUCUUUUGUUGUAUAACGUUAUUGUUUGAAUUCAUAUUCUUUUUAUGAAGCUGUCUUUGAGUGGUUCAAGUGCUACUACAUUACACUUAGACAUCCUUCAGUGAAACAUCAAAUGUAGUGUAACUUUCCAGACGCUAUUUUGACAAUGCAUGACUAACAAAAUUCCUUAAAUGCAACUAUUUUUCCUAGAAAAAGUCCCAUAAAGAGAUGAUAAGUGGGAGAAAGAGUGAAAUGACAAUGUCUUCUGGAGUGGAAGACCUUCCGAGUUCCGUAUCAUACACUAUCAUAGGCGCGAAAUCCGCCUAGCUACUUACUACUCAACUUAAAAUUAAAAUUAAAAUUGAAAUGGAAUUCAAAUUGAAGGAGAAAAAGAACCGUACUAGUCAGAAUUUGGGGAAAGAUGGAGAGCUCUCUUGAGUUUGGGGUCGAAGGCCUGCCUCGAAAAAGUCAGUGUCAGAUCCUUCUCCCUACUCAUGUUGUUGUGCUUUUACAGUUUGUUAACAGUUUCUGCAAAUGAUCC
Molecule: long non-coding RNA, 878 nt
Filed under: Nicotiana tabacum (common tobacco)
Lineage: Eukaryota; Viridiplantae; Streptophyta; Magnoliopsida; Solanales; Solanaceae
Description: long non-coding RNA (NTAB_LNC007095)
Source: RNAcentral